Zingiber officinale is the source of this 1789-nucleotide long non-coding RNA. RefSeq lists it as uncharacterized. NCBI's taxonomy places the organism in Eukaryota, Viridiplantae, Streptophyta, Magnoliopsida, Zingiberales, Zingiberaceae. The transcript is spliced from 6 exons. The record is from RefSeq and is a predicted model, not a curated record.
UUGGAGCAUGGCACACACGUGAAACCUACCGGUUGUCAGAGAAAGAAAUCCUCUGGCCUCUUCCUUUGCUCCCAACUUGUCGUCCGAGCGGACAGAUCCCUCAACAUCUGACCGGACAUCCGCGGUGGUUUACUUGUGCUUUGUGGCGACUAAUAAACAGGGGUGCUUUAUGACUGUGGUCGAUCAAAAGGUCAGCUCGGUCCAUGACCUUUUUAACUGAGCGUCGGAACCCCGAUUUGACAGGGUGCCUCCCCACCAUAAGUGCGAGCCGGCCGGACCCAUCCGGGUAUUCGAUUCCAUCGGCCUGCCGGCAGUCAGGUCGGACCGGCCGUCUACAGCCGUCCGUCCGGCCGGACCACAUUCUACCCGGAUGGACGGCUGCUCCGAUGACUUCCACGGGGCGUUGACUUUGCAAGAGGGGGGGGGGGCCCGCUCUUACUACCGGAUCAGCAGAAAAGCCUUAUACAAGCUCUCACAAGAACACGACACAUGAAACAAGAAAGUAAUACAAAUACAAUGAAUCCUUUGCUUGUUUGAUUUCUUGUUGCUUGGAAAUGUCUCUUGUUAACUCGGAAAUGCAGCAGAACUUCGCUUCAAAAUUUCACGAAACCCGCUUUUGUAGGAUUUUUCGGAAAACACCUCCCCAAUCGCUUUCCGUAGUUCGUUGGGAAGAACUCGCAAGACGUGCUGAAGAAAAUAGAUUCCGUAGUCAGUAACCACAGCUAAUCCAUUGAAUUAACAAACAAUCAAAGAGAAAUAAAAAAAUAAAUAAAAAUAGAAAUUGAAGAGAAACUAUUCUUACUGGAAUAAAUCGCUGGAAAAUAGUCAAAUCACCGAGUUUGUUGGGAAAAAGUUGUCCUCCACUCCACUUGCUAAAAAAUAGUCAUAGGAAUCACCCGGUUCAUCUUGCAAUCACCUUCCCGGUGAAGGUGGGAUAAUGGACUUGCUGGCAGUUGCUGAUCCAGAUUGUGUUCGGGCUGCUCAGACCUUCAUUAAGAUGCAAUUGCUCUUACUUUGAAAGAAGAUCUCUUAGCCACUUUGCCGAUCCAGAUUGUGUUCGGGCUGCUCAGACCUUCAUUAAGAAGCAAAUUGCUCUUACUUUGAAAGAAGAUCUCUUAGCCACUGUGAAUAAUAACAGAAGCUUGGAGCCUUUUGUUUUUGACCGUCAUAAUAUCGCCCGACGUGCUUUAAAGAACAUAGCUCUUGCUUAUCUUUCAUCAUUGGACUAUCCAGAGCUCGCCAAUCUUGCAUUGGACGCAUAUAAGUCUGCUACUAAUAUGACCGACCAGUUUGCUGUGUUAGCCCAAAAUCCAGGAUGAGUUCACGAUGAUGUUUCUCGCUGAAUUAUAUGGAAAAUGCAACAUGACUUUUUGGUUGUGAAUAAAUCCUGGGGGAACUUCUCAAAUGUCUAGUAAGUGGAUGAGCUGCAUUCGACCUUCAAAAUCCUAACAAGGUUUACUCGUUAGUUGGAGGUUUCUGCGGUUCACUUGCGCAUUCUCAUGCAAAAAAUGGUUCAGGCUACAAAUUCUUGGGGGAUUUUAGUCAUGCGGUGGAAAUGUUCUUCGAUCAUAGAGAGAUGGAGAGGAACUAAAGAUGUUGGAGGUGGAAGGUGGAGUGAAGGAAAAAAGUUUGGUGUAAUGUUUUUUUUCUCCAUGUAUCAACUUUUCUCUCCUCUUCGAUUCAUUCUAGAGGAGAGAAAAGGGUGGGAAGAGGAUCCUCUCAUCUCAAUCUUUUUCUCACCUUCCUAUACUUGAGUUUGUGCCGGUCUAGUUUUGGUAUUUUAUUCUUA